UCGGGUGACGAGCGGCGGACGGGUGAGUAAUGUCUGGGAAACUGCCUGAUGGAGGGGGAUAACUACUGGAAACGGUAGCUAAUACCGCAUAAUGUCGCAAGACCAAAGUGGGGGACCUUCGGGCCUCAUGCCAUCAGAUGUGCCCAGAUGGGAUUAGCUAGUAGGUGGGGUAACGGCUCACCUAGGCGACGAUCCCUAGCUGGUCUGAGAGGAUGACCAGCCACACUGGAACUGAGACACGGUCCAGACUCCUACGGGAGGCAGCAGUGGGGAAUAUUGCACAAUGGGCGCAAGCCUGAUGCAGCCAUGCCGCGUGUGUGAAGAAGGCCUUCGGGUUGUAAAGCACUUUCAGCGGGGAGGAAGGCGUUAAGGUUAAUAACCUUGGCGAUUGACGUUACCCGCAGAAGAAGCACCGGCUAACUCCGUGCCAGCAGCCGCGGUAAUACGGAGGGUGCAAGCGUUAAUCGGAAUUACUGGGCGUAAAGCGCACGCAGGCGGUCUGUCAAGUCGGAUGUGAAAUCCCCGGGCUCAACCUGGGAACUGCAUUCGAAACUGGCAGGCUAGAGUCUUGUAGAGGGGGGUAGAAUUCCAGGUGUAGCGGUGAAAUGCGUAGAGAUCUGGAGGAAUACCGGUGGCGAAG
Molecule: ribosomal RNA, 640 nt
Filed under: Klebsiella pneumoniae
Lineage: Bacteria; Pseudomonadati; Pseudomonadota; Gammaproteobacteria; Enterobacterales; Enterobacteriaceae
Description: bacterial SSU rRNA
Rfam family: Bacterial small subunit ribosomal RNA
Source: RNAcentral